UUUAUUUUUAUUUUCUAGCUGGUCAAUAAAGCUUAUGAACAUGAUCUAAGAAUUUAUGAAGCGAAGGAGAAGCAUAAACUUUCUAAAGCCAAAGAAGUUGCAAAGGAAAGGGAACAAGAGUUCAAAGAAAACGUCUUUAAAGAAUCUCCAAAAAUGUCUCAGCUAGUGAAAGUUUGUUCUAGAAAAACCGCACCUCAGUAUCCCAAACACAGCCAGCGGAUUCCAAAACGGGGGAUCAUGAAGCCAAAGCAAGCAGCUCCAAUGACAGUAAGAGACAAUGACCUCCUCUUGCAGCUCCUGGAGGAGUUUCCCAGCCUGCACAUUUCUGCACGGACUCUGGGUAAAAUGUGGCAGCGGCAGCUUACUCACACUGCACACCUUAAGGCACCUGCUGGCAGA
RNAcentral lists this long non-coding RNA (399 nucleotides) under Malurus cyaneus samueli. Its description in RNAcentral is "lncRNA (ENSMCSG00000004852.1)". The record is from RNAcentral. Lineage: Eukaryota; Metazoa; Chordata; Aves; Passeriformes; Maluridae.